Molecule: long non-coding RNA, 1539 nt
Filed under: Nicotiana benthamiana
Lineage: Eukaryota; Viridiplantae; Streptophyta; Magnoliopsida; Solanales; Solanaceae
Description: long non-coding RNA (NBEN_LNC022748)
Source: RNAcentral
CCAUUCUAAUUAGGUCACAGCUGCUUCUCCGGUUCUCUCUAUUCUCUGUAAACCUAAGCAUCCUUUCUUCAUCAAAGGACCUGAAGCAUUCUCUGUGAUCUAAGCAUAUAUCGGUGAAAAGCUCUAGUUGGCAGCAAAUCAUUCGUGACUUUGAUAUGUCAUUCCGACCUGACAUUAGCAGCUGCUACCGACCAAAUACUCGGCAUCGUCGAUACUUUAAGCGCCGACGACUAAAGGAUAAACAACCACCACUUCGCCUGCUACUCAAUUCUCCAAAUCCAACACAAGCUUGGGAUUUCGGUAAGUCAAUCUCUCUUUCUCUCUCUCCUUUCCCUGAUUUCGGGUUCUGCCACUGUCACCUAAAGCUUGAGUCUGCCUCACUCCAAUUCUUCAAGAAUUUAUAGGUCAAGAAUUGAGUUUGUUAAUUCCUAGGUAGCCUAUCUUUAUACUAUGUGUUCGAUGAAUUUAUCGAAAAAUAUUGAUUUUUAUUGAACUUCUAGAUUUUGCUGCUUUUUAAAGUUUGAGUUUGGUUUGUAUUUUCAUAUGGUUGGACUAUGUCCGUCCAUUCAAAAUUUUCAUUUUACAAAAUGACAUUGGAUCAGAUAUUUGAUUUUGAUAAUUUAUUUGCAAGAAGAAACACUACAACAUUCAAAUGGAUUAGCAAGUACAGAGGCAACAACAAACCCGCUGAUAUAUUUGUCCACUUUAUUGUUAUUCAGUUUGGUGAACUUAUCAUCUAAAUGUCUUGUUCCUGGAGAGAUUUUGGUCGUGUGAAUGAUGAGAAGACACGCAAAACCUAGAAUGCAGCCGAAGAGUUAAACAUUUUUUUACAAAUAGGAGAGAAGGCAAAAAUUAUAUUGUUAGACCUGUCGUAGUUUGCAUUCUGAGUUUUUCCUUUUUAAAACAUAAAAUGUAUGAAGCACAUGAUAUGGUAAGUGUUGGUUUACUAAAUAGGAAUUGAUUCUAUCACUGAUAUCAUUUUUCUUUAUCCUAUCAACCAAAUCACUCAUGUUUUUGUUCUUAGGUAGGCAAUUGUUAUAAUGGUCUAUCUUUUGUACGGCUUGAAUUCCUUAUUGUAGUUAUAAAUUUGUCAUUUUUUGGUUUUCAUUUUGUGACUUUUAAGUAGUAAGCAUAGUUAUUGUUCCUUAUUAUUUUGUAUUAGGUCUUGGAUACCAAAGUUUAUGCUGAUAUAGAGGCUGCUGAGCUAACACUUUUGGUAAGGCUAAAGGAAAAGGAUAAAGGAAGACUAGUUACUCAUUAUGAUGUAUUCAAGGGAACCCACGUGAAGAAGUUGAAGGAUGAAACAAAAAUGACUUGGGUCGAGACGCGCGAAGACAAAAUAUGUAAAUGAGCUUUAUUUUAAAUUAUCUUAUCUGUUGGUAGCUUAUUGAUGAACUUUUUAAAAUGCAAAGAGCUCCAAAAACUGUGAAAGUCUCAUUAGUUUUAAGUCCGAGGUUGUGGUGAAUGAUGAGAGUUAUAGGAAAUUUUAGUGGUUGGUUUUGCGCUUCUCUGUCUUUCUCCACUGCCAAUGAUAACUCC